GAUGAACGCUGGCGGCGUGCUUAACACAUGCAAGUCGAACGGGAAACCUAUUAUUGAAACUUCGGUUGAUUUAAUUUGUUUCUAGUGGCGGACGGGUGAGUAACGCGUGGGUAACCUGCCCUAUACAGGGGGAUAACAACCAGAAAUGGUUGCUAAUACCGCAUAAGCGCACAGGACCGCAUGGUCCAGUGUGAAAAACUCCGGUGGUAUAGGAUGGACCCGCGUUGGAUUAGCUUGUUGGUGGGGUAACGGCCCACCAAGGCGACGAUCCAUAGCCGGCCUGAGAGGGUGAACGGCCACAUUGGGACUGAGACACGGCCCAGACUCCUACGGGAGGCAGCAGUGGGGAAUAUUGCACAAUGGGGGAAACCCUGAUGCAGCGACGCCGCGUGAAGGAAGAAGUAUCUCGGUAUGUAAACUUCUAUCAGCAGGGAAGAUAGUGACGGUACCUGACUAAGAAGCCCCCG
Molecule: ribosomal RNA, 467 nt
Filed under: uncultured bacterium
Lineage: Bacteria
Description: bacterial SSU rRNA
Rfam family: Bacterial small subunit ribosomal RNA
Source: RNAcentral